Nicotiana tabacum (common tobacco) is the source of this 729-nucleotide non-coding RNA. The record is from RefSeq and is a predicted model, not a curated record. Lineage: Eukaryota; Viridiplantae; Streptophyta; Magnoliopsida; Solanales; Solanaceae.
UGAAGAGGAGUUAUAGGGGUUUCUUCAAAAUUUAUUUUUGGGUUGACAACUUUGACUAUAAAUUAUUAGUGGAGUAACUCGUAUAGGAUCUUGGGAGUGGCUCACUCACAAACAUCAACCUCUAGGAAGAGAUCAAAAGUUGACUUACAAGCAUAUACUAGUAAGAAGAAUGCUAAAAACAAGACUGAUAGAGGAAGAGGCAAUGGCAAGAUGGUGCAGAGCUCACAAACCUCAGAUAUCCAGAAAUCUCAAGUUUCAGUAGUCUCAGGCAAGCAACAGAGGUACUCUUACUGUAUUUAAGAGGCCAAGAGUAGUGGGAGAUGGAGUGCUUGUCUGGAAAAAUGGCUUUACAUAUGUUGAACAAGAAAGGUCUGUUAAUAGGAUAACCAAUACUGGAGCAAUGGAAAGUUCAACUGUGGUAACUAGUGAUCUUGGUUUUAAAUCAAGUAAAUGCCUGAAAUGGAAGAGAAAGCAAGCAAUCACAACUUCAACACAAAAGUGCAUUACUACAAUAUUUAAGGUCAAAUUCACCAAAAGCUGGUGAUAAAACUGGAGGUGUUUGAGCUUCGACACUACUCUACUCUGGUUGCAAACUGAUGUAAAAUAAUAUUUUGAUUGUGGUUUGAACAAUAUUUUUGGGGUGCAAGUUAUGAUGUAAACUAUUAAACUUGUGCUAUUUCUAUGCUUUUGGGAUGCAAGUUCUGAUGUAAAACUGAUUAGUUCUAGGUA